Molecule: ribosomal RNA, 433 nt
Filed under: uncultured bacterium
Lineage: Bacteria
Description: partial 16S ribosomal RNA
Rfam family: Bacterial small subunit ribosomal RNA
Source: RNAcentral
AACGAACGCUGGCGGCAUGCCUAACACAUGCAAGUCGAACGAGACCUUCGGGUCUAGUGGCGCACGGGUGCGUAACGCGUGGGAACCUGCCCUUAGGUUCGGAAUAACUCCCCGAAAGGGGUGCUAAUACCGGAUAAUGUCUUCGGACCAAAGAUUUAUCGCCUUUGGAUGGGCCCGCGUUGGAUUAGCUAGUUGGUAGGGUAAAAGCAUACCAAGGCGACGAUCCAUAGCUGGUCUGAGAGGAUGAUCAGCCACACUGGGACUAAGACACGGCCCAGACUCCUACGGGAGGCAGCAGUGGGGAAUAUUGGAAAAUGGGCGAAAGCCUGAUCCAGCAAUGCCGCGUGAGUGAUGAAGGCCUUAGGGUUGUAAAGCUCUUUUACCCGGGAUGAUAAUGACAGUACCGGGAGAAUAAGCUCCGGCUAACUCCGUG